GUGAUCAACAAACACGUCCAUUUUAAAGUAUUCGUCAGUUGUCAUCAUGCGAUUCCAGGGGAACAAUAUAAACUAGUAGUUGUUGAGGGAUUUUUCGUAUUGACCAGGCCAGCCAUAGACUGAAAAUUAUGAAGGACAAUAUGAAUAUCCUGUGUCAUACGUUCUGGAUUCCUAUACUUCAUGUUCUGAAUGGUAAACAUGCAUCGACAAUAGUAAAACAUAUUAACAUAACAACUCCAGAAGGAUAUGAAAGAAUUGAUUUAUCAGAUUAUUGUAUUAAGCCUACGGACGAGUCAUUCCAGUUCCAGGCUAUGGCCUCCGACAAUGUAUGGAUAAGCUUGAUUACGGAUAUUGGAAUCACCGGACCUGGAUACCAGAUAGGUAUAGGGGCUAACGCUAAUACACGUUGUGAUAUCCGACGAGGGAUAGUAAGUGAUGACAAUUAUGUGGAAUGGGAGU
Molecule: long non-coding RNA, 459 nt
Organism: Mytilus californianus (California mussel)
Lineage: Eukaryota; Metazoa; Mollusca; Bivalvia; Mytilida; Mytilidae
Exons: 3
Source: RefSeq, a predicted model, not a curated record